AGCACAGAGCCCGAUGCGGGGUCGAACCCACAAACGGUGUCACUUGCCCUUUCUAUAUUUUCGGUUUGGAAAGUCGAUGACAGUCAGAACGCUGGUCUCCUCGAGGAAGAGAAAACCAAGUCGAGCUGGUCUGUCCCAGCUCCAGUAACGCAGCUGCGGCCCCUCCACGGAACCACAGGACGCGCCUCUCUCUGUCUCUGUCUUGGCCGUCAGCGGCCUCCCUCGGGGCCGGCGUGGCUCUGGUCCUUCCAGGCACCACAUCCAGACAGGGCAACUUCCAGAGGGAGAGGGGGACGUUGUCCCGCGGCACCUCCCCCUCAAGCGUGAGGGGUGUGCCGCGGACCCUGGGGUGUGCACCCGGGCACUUCUUUUCAGGAGGGGAACCUCACUUUCCAGCUGCCCAGAGUGUUGACCGGUGAGGUCUCACCGCCCAGGCCCUCCCCAGGGAUCGCACUUGUCCGAGGGGGGCCCCGUUUCUCGACAGCCUGCCCCUCCCUGGGUCCGAGCCCUGGGACGUCCCAUCCGCAGUGACUGGCCCAGGGGAUAGACUGGCAUCUGUGCUUCCCACCCUGCCUGAUCUUGUUUUCCUCUCUCCUCCGCGGGUUUCGUACUUGGGAGCACUCCCCGAUAAACCUCUUGUGCACAAAACUCGGUUUCGGAAUCUCCCUCCCACGGAACUCACUCGGAAAGAAUUCGCACGAGGAGCGGUCCUGAGAAGCUGAUUUACAACACCGUUCGGGGCAGAGACCCCCUGGCCCCCAGCUGGCCACGAGGACCCACCCGUGGGACUGGCCCUUGCGGGUCUGUGGCAGUGCGGUUGGGAGAAGCGUUACCAGUGACAAAGUAGAACAGAGGAACCAGGGGAGAGAGUGCAGGGCAGCUCGCCUCUCCCGUCCUCCUGGCCGCCAGACCAGUGACGGGGGUCAGGCACAGGUCACGCAUGAGCCUGAUGGAAUCAGCCGCCACCAACCAAGGCUGACACGGCUUCUGUCGCCGCAGAAACCUGCCUGAUGCUUGAACACGGCGUAUCCCUCAGACGAACCUGCCGCUUGGUGGCGAGUUCAUUACGUUGGAUCCCUUCCACCCUCGAAGGGGACAAACUCAUCUUGACUGAAAUGGACUUCUAUUCUAGUUAAAGGUUUGACUUCCUCGUCUGUGAAGCCUCAGCUUCGGAUGCCUUACCGAAAAGUCUCAGACCGAGGGGCCCUCUUGACAACAGGCGAGGUGCCUUGGCGGUGGGCACACAAGCGUGGCAAGGCUUGGCACUCGCCGCAUCACCGGGAGCAGAUGGCCCGAUGGAACCGUCACAAAGGCUCGGGAAGGCCCAGCAGGGGUACCAGCUCGGACAUGACGCCCUGCAGGGAUGGGGCGCCACCCUCCAGGACGCAUAAUCGGUGCGCGGCGCUGGGUCCCCGGCGGUUGGAGCACGUGUCUGGGAACCAAGGGGGAUAGCAAGCACGCACCUGUUCGCCAUGAGUCCCGUGGCCCACCUGGGGAGUAGUCUGGGUUUCUGUUCCCAGCACCUUCAGGUUGUGUGGUUCUGGGCAUCGUAUUCCCAGAGGAGAGGUGUCCACCCGGGGUCAUAGCACCCCGGCAGGGUCGCUGGCCCUGACCGUCAGGAGGUAGGCUGCUUCACGUGUGGAGGCGGGCAGAAACAAAGUAUGUACCCGGGGCAUCCCCUGGGGCGCCACUGGGUGCUGCCUCACCUAACUUUGAUGGCAGGUAGACAGACGUGGCACCCGUGGCCCCAGCAGGUCUUGGCGGGAGAAGCUCAAACCCUCAGGGAAGCGGGUCUGGGUCACUGCACGGCGCCUGGCCCUCGGACUGGCAGAGGUGGUAGCUGGGAGCGGGGGCGGGGGGUCUCGGAUGGCUCGUGGAGGAGGGAGAUUUAAGUAUCGGUUGUGGCUGGGAGGCAAGUCGCAGCGUCUGGACUACGGCACCUCCCGCCGAUUUUCUUGGGGCAUUUUCCCCAGGAGGGAGAUAAGCCGGAGAACACGGGAGUCCCGGCUCCCGGGUGGGUGGGUUACUACAUGAGCUAGUGAUCUGAGCCGUGCCGGGCACAGUGUCGUAGACGGUCGUGGGCGUCCCGACGACCCCGUGUGACCGAGGCUCUCCUUCUGUGCUGCCUGUGGCUCACCGCCCAGAAAGGGGUCACGAAGCCGGUGGUGCCCGCUCCCCGGGGACAGCCCACAGCAGUGACCGGGUGGCCUCCGAGGGCUCACCUCAGUCACACAGCGCCCCUGGGGUUGCCUGAGGUCUGUGUGAGGACUGCACCCCGGCCGAACUCCCCGGGGCCAGUUCUGACUCCCUCACUUUCUCGUAGUUGCUGUUCCCAAGAACGCUCCUCGAUAAAUCACCUGCACACGAGCCUCCCUCCCUGAGUUCUUUUCCAGGGAACCCGCCGAAGCCAUAACUCGUGCCCGGAAAUGUCCCCAAGGCAGCACCUCUCCAGCCUGACUGGAUAGAAUUGAGUGUUGCGCCUGUGCAACUGAUCAUUUGGGGGUGGGAGGGAUGUCGGGGACAACCAAAUGGCCACUCUCCGUGGGAUGUGGGGAGUUGGUGACCAGCACGUAGACCUCCCAGAGAUGCCCCCAGAGCUGCGUCUGCACAGAGAUGGGCAGGAUGGGGUGCUUGUGGCACGGAGCCUGCGGGCUGGCACCUGCUUCCCGGAGGAACAGAGCAGCAGCUGCUAUGGUCAGCGUGUGACACAAGGCUCUCUGGCCUGGCCCCAUUUCGGAAGCCCCAAAACACGUGUGGGGGGAUGUUGGCAUUUCUAAGGGCUAUCGUCACCCUCUGUAAAAAUUAACCUCAAAUCUUCGGUGCUUUCUUUUGUGAAGGACUUCCAUUACAUUUAAUUCGAAAAGUCCCAGGCAAACCCCGGGCUCGGGGCUCCUUCUGAAUGAGAACUUGACUCUCGCGUUGGGAUUCUAAGGGCACGGAGCGGGCAGUACUGCGUGUACCCUGGGACUCGAGUUCGAAGGAUGUAAUAACAGUUGUAGGAAAAUAAAGCAAGGGAUCUGCGGCCAAGUACAUUCGGAAAUGGCGUGGUUGACAAGGGAGAGAGGUCUCUCUUUUCCACGGGCUCUCGUCGCUACCUGUCCCACACAGCCCUGGGUGGGGGGGGGGGGACUGCCGGUGACCUCAGGGCACCUCUGGUGGCCACGGCGGUGUUCUCUUUUUGCAAGUUUGCAAGUGCUUAUCAGCAACUGCCGGCACGCAGCCUGGCGCGGGCUGCGCGGGCCAUUCUCCCCGUGGUGCACAACACGAUUGAGUUUUGUACCCCCGGUGUGAGCAGGAGAACCCCGGAGUAACAGAAACCCCCACCAGGUACUUCCUGCCAGAUGGUGGGUUUGCAGCUCUCCUGGCUGCCUUCCCUUUCCCAGCCUGGGAUCCGAAUCAAAGGAUCCUUCGUUCAAUUCCAUGCCCACCGGUGUUCUCUCUCAGAGCCAAGGAGAACUGUGGCUGAGUCACAGCCGGCAUGAGAAACUCCUGCUGACUCAGUUCGAGUAACCUCCGUGAACGGGGCUCUCACUUCUCGCCAGGACACGCUGCCCGGAAUGCCUGCCAGAGCCUCUAUUUUAGGUCACGGAAAUAGCCCCCAAGUGCAAACAAGGCUACAAGGUUGGUUCUAGAUGUCUCGUGACCUGAGAACGCCCCGUGUUGCCCAAUGCGCUACCCGUCCUCUCGGAUCUGGUCCCAGGAUGUUAUUUCGAGCAAGGUCUUGUAACUGCUGGCUUGGAGGGGGGGGGCUCUAGCGUGUCCCCGGUGCCCCCGGUUUUGCACCUGCCGGGGAGUGCCGAUCGAAGCCCGUCUCCAAGGCACACGGGGAGGGAAACCGAAGGAGCUGCUUCCUUCCUCUUGCUCAUGCACAGUGGCUGGCGCACAGCGGGAGUCACACGGUGAGGUGUCAGCGUGCUGAGGCCCAGCAGAACUGGUACUGACAAGCAAACAAGAGCCACACGCAGGGAAAGCACAGAAUGUCUCUGGGCAUCCUCUCCCACAAAAAUACAGUCCUGCUGGAAGUGGUCACGAAGCUAAGGUGAAUGUUUUCGAGGAGACAGACACGAAGACCUUCCCAGUGUCAGUGAACGAGCUGGGGACACGGGGCCUGGAUGACCAGGUACUGAGUGCCCCAGGGCUCGGUGCUGGAAAGCAUGAGCAGACAAUCCCUGCAAUUCCCACCCCCAACCCCCAAGAGGUCACCUACAGGAAGAGGGAGACUGGAGUCGUGACCACAAACCACACUCUAACCUGGAUCUACAGAAGGCCGUGAGUUCAUCUGAAGAUUACUUCCCCAUAUGUUUUUUUCCUACUACUUUUUGCAAGUGUAAAAGAUAGUUCCAGAAUAAAAAAAAAUCCAGUGGACAGUCUACAGAAUCCCACGGUAUCCUAAAAUUUUACCAAACAACAGAUAUAUGCCUACUUGGCCUUGAGCCAAGUAAAUUGUGCAUGCGAGGUCACCUUCCAGACGAAGGUGUCCAUCAUUAGGUAGUGUCAGAGCGGUGCCCCUGGCCCGUGCCUACGUGUGUGGACGGAAUGUUUGCACGCCCCCAUCCAUACGUGAAAGCCCAACCCCCAAGUUAAAUGCAGCCACAAGGGUGGGGUCUUGACCCAAUAGGAUUAGUGUCCUUACACAAAGAGAAACCAGAGAACUCUCUCUCUCUGUCUCCAUGCUCACAAGAGAGGUCAUGUGAGCACAUCGCGGCAGCCACCUAUGAGCUCAGGGAAUGAAACGUACCUUCCAGCCUCCGGAACCAUAAGAAACCAGUCUCUGCCGUGGAAGCUGCCCAGUCUUACCGCCCGGUGGUAUUUUGUCAUGUGGCCGGGACAGACUAAUGCAAGCAUAUCUCGCACCACCCACAUGGUGCCUGGAGUGCUAACAGUGAAUAUACAGACUCUGAUCAUAGAUUUGUCAUUUACCAAUUGCUUGCUAUGUGCUUGACAUUGUUGGUCACCUUGGCCUUUACUUAUUGCCCCUUGUGUUAUGGUGUUGUUCCUUCCCUUUUAUUUUUUUUUAAUUAAAAUUUUUUUCCAAUGUUUA
This is a long non-coding RNA of Lynx canadensis (Canada lynx), 5041 nucleotides long. RefSeq lists it as uncharacterized. The record is from RefSeq and is a predicted model, not a curated record. The transcript is spliced from 3 exons. Lineage: Eukaryota; Metazoa; Chordata; Mammalia; Carnivora; Felidae.